CGCGGCCUGCUCUUUUGUCCUGCCCGCUGACGGCCGGUCCCCGCGCACGGUGACGCCCUGGUAGCAACGGCGACUGUCCAUCCGGGUCGACGAGUCGAGUUGUUUGGGAAUGCAUCUCUUACUGGUUGGUUUGCUCGGUCUUACGCUUAAUAUUGGCUAGUGACUUAUAGCUAACACUUACUGUGAACGAAAGAUCAAAAGAACUUUGAUACCAUAGUGAAAAAGUACGUGAAAUUGUUGAAAUGGAAGGCAAUGAGGUGCGAUUGAACCGAACGUUUGCCGACAGGACUCAAUCGCAGGCCGCCUGCGCAUUGCCUGCGUGCAUACUGCCCCCCGGACUCCCGGUUCUAACAACGCCGUAUUGCAC
This 367-nucleotide ribosomal RNA is filed under the name Entelexis sorbosivorans. Its description in RNAcentral is "Starmerella sorbosivorans partial large subunit ribosomal RNA". It matches the Rfam family "Eukaryotic large subunit ribosomal RNA", at positions 157 to 512 of the family's 3401-position model. The record is from RNAcentral. Lineage: Eukaryota; Fungi; Ascomycota; Dipodascomycetes; Dipodascales; Trichomonascaceae.